Long non-coding RNA from Esox lucius (northern pike), 1241 nucleotides. RefSeq lists it as uncharacterized. Lineage: Eukaryota; Metazoa; Chordata; Actinopteri; Esociformes; Esocidae. The record is from RefSeq and is a predicted model, not a curated record. The transcript is spliced from 4 exons.
UCACAAACUAUGGCUCUGGUUAUAGCUAUUUUCCCAGGCAAUGCAGACUGGGCUGGAUUCAUCAGGGUUUCCUUUAUUUCCUGUCAGGAAUUUGCUAGAUUUACAGUAGCUCACCUUGUGAUGGAUCUUUAUAAGUUAACGUCAUUAGUGAACAGAGAAGCUCCCUAUGUUAAGUCACCUAGCCUAGUUUAGUGAUGCAGAAAAAUGUACAGAAGAGUACAAUUGAUCUCUGACAGUUGCCUAUAGCUGCAGGGCGAUGUCUGCCCUUAAUGCUGACAUUUCCACAUGCUUUCAUCACAUUUAGGAGCUGCUCAGCCGUUUACCAGAACAGUUGCCGCAGUAGAGCUGAUUUUUCCAGAGAGAAUUGCUAUCAUUAUUAUUAUGGUCUUGAGGGAGACAACAAUGCUCAAUAUGCAGGUAGCUGUCAUUUUCUGGGGAAUCUCUAUGUUUCCAAGCAUUGGGUACAGCUAUGAGCUCCAGGAUACCAUCCAUUCUUUGAAAGAGGAGAAUGUUCACCUUCACCACCGUCUGGAAAAUCUCACCCGCACUCUCCGUGAGCUGAAGCAUCUGCUCUUCGAUCACUCACGAGACACUGGAGGAAAACACAACAGUGAUGCACUGAAUGCCUGGAAUGAAUGGACACAACAUGGUAUCAGUCCUGAGACACAUCAACUGUUGGAGCAGGCUUUCUGCUGGCCGGAUCUUCAUGGAGCUGCCGGGCCUAUCUUCAUAUUUCCUCCUCACUUCCUCCUUUCUCCAAUCAUUGUCUGUUUCCUUCUUCUGUAAACUUUCAUCUGGAUCCUGGCAGCACUGUUGACGAUGCAUUGGAGCUUCUGGAGACUCCUGCCAUGGCUCCCGAGGAACAGGGCAUUGCAGUAGUAAUGUGUUCAUUACAGGCAGUCACUAUUGCUGUUUUCUGAAUGUGCCUCACCAAACAAUGGUGUUGAUAAUUUUUUGAUGAAGUGUAAAUUACAGUCUUUCCGUAUGUAAGACAACACAUUAUUCUAAAUGGGCAAAGUUUUCACAAUAUUAUUUUAGUGAUUGGUGUUGCCUUGCAGGCAUUCUCAUUAGCCUCAUUUAAAGGGAAACAGGACAGCCCUUUCCAUGAUGAACAGUCCAUUAACAGAUCCGCUUUUAUAGAUUGUCUUAUACAGCUGUCUGUUUUAGUUACUCCAGUAGAGGCAAGUUGCUGGAAAUGUUAGAUUUUGCCUCUAUACUAUAUGUUGCAUUUUUGUAAUAAA